RNAcentral lists this ribosomal RNA (253 nucleotides) under uncultured bacterium. Its description in RNAcentral is "partial 16S ribosomal RNA". It matches the Rfam family "Bacterial small subunit ribosomal RNA", at positions 524 to 776 of the family's 1533-position model. The record is from RNAcentral.
UACGUAGGUGGCAAGCGUUGUCCGGAUUUACUGGGCGUAAAGAGCGUGUAGGCGGCCCGGUAAGUCCGCUGUGAAAGUCGGGGGCUCAACCCUCGGAUGCCGGUGGAUACUGUCGGGCUCGAGUACGGAAGAGGCGAGUGGAAUUCCUGGUGUAGCGGUGAAAUUCGCAGAUAUCAGGAGGAACACCGGUGGCGAAGGCGGCUUCCUGGACACUUACUGACGCUGAGACGCGAAAGCGUGGGGAGCAAACAGG